Molecule: ribosomal RNA, 268 nt
Filed under: uncultured bacterium
Lineage: Bacteria
Description: partial 16S ribosomal RNA
Rfam family: Bacterial small subunit ribosomal RNA
Source: RNAcentral
CUUCCUACGGGAGGCAGCAGUGAGGAAUAUUGGUCAAUGGGCGAGAGCCUGAACCAGCCAAGUCGCGUGAGGGAAGACGGCCCUAUGGGUUGUAAACCUCUUUUGUCGGAGAACAAAACCCGGGACGUGACCCGGACUGCGUGUAUCCGAAGAAAAAGCAUCGGCUAAUUCCGUGCCAGCAGCCGCGGUAAUACGGAGGAUGCGAGCGUUAUCCGGAUUUAUUGGGUUUAAAGGGUGCGUAGGCGGUCCGUUAAGUCAGCGGUAAAAU